AUUGAACGCUGGCGGCAGGCCUAACACAUGCAAGUCGAACGGUAGCACAGAGAGCUUGCUCUCGGGUGACGAGUGGCCGACGGGUGAGUAAUGUCUGGGAAACUGCCCGAUGGAGGGGGAUAACUACUGGAAACGGUAGCUAAUACCGCAUAACGUCGCAAGACCAAAGUGGGGGACCUUCGGGCCUCACACCAUCGGAUGCGCCCAGAUGGGCUAAGCUAGUAGGUGGGGUAAUGGCCAACCUAGGCGACGAUCCCUAGCUGGACUGAGAGGAUGACCAGCCACACUGGAACUGAGACAAGGUCCAGGCUUCUACGGGAGGCAGCAGUGGGGAAUAUUGAACAAUGGGCGCAAGCCUGAUGCAGCCAUGCCGCGUGUAUGAAGAAGGACUUCGGGUUGUAAAGUACUUUCAGCGGGGAGGAAGGCGGUGAAGUUAAUAGCUUCACCGAUUGACGUUACCCGCAGAAGAAGCACCGGCUAACUCCGUGCCAGCCGCCGCAGUAA
This 504-nucleotide ribosomal RNA is filed under the name uncultured bacterium. RNAcentral describes it as "partial 16S ribosomal RNA". It matches the Rfam family "Bacterial small subunit ribosomal RNA", at positions 29 to 523 of the family's 1533-position model. The record is from RNAcentral.